AGGAGAAUCAAGGAAGAAGUGCAGUUUAACUCUCAUGUUUUUUGUUGCUUUUCCGUCUAGAUAAUCUGUCCAUUGCUGAAAGUGGAGUGUUGAACUCCCC
Long non-coding RNA from Sapajus apella (tufted capuchin), 100 nucleotides. RefSeq lists it as uncharacterized. The record is from RefSeq and is a predicted model, not a curated record. The transcript is spliced from 3 exons. NCBI's taxonomy places the organism in Eukaryota, Metazoa, Chordata, Mammalia, Primates, Cebidae.